CACACACACACACACAAACAUCCAUCCAUAUACACACCUGUCUGUCUAUCUAUAUAAUCUAUUUCCUGAAUACAGGCAACCACUUCCUGAAAUAUUUUCCUUUCUUUGAUUCUGACCUAUUCACUUCCAACCCGAAGAACCAUUAUAUCAGACAAGAAACAAUAAUAACAGUGGGGAGUUUAAAAUAAAAUGGUUUCAUUGAUUUGAAAAUUUCGACUGGCUAAAAAGGCUUGCAGAGAUUGCAACAAAGUCGCAAUCAGAUUCUAUGGGAAUGAAUACCGAUUAAUUUAAUACCAACUGGCAAAUUUGAGAGGUACAGGAAAUACCCACCCACACACACCAAUAUAAAAAAAAAAAUCAUAGUUGAAUCGCAUGCUGAAUAGUGUAUCAAAUAGCAACACAAUAAAAUGCUAACUACAGGCAGCAUGUGUCCUUGCAACUAGAGUGUGAUGAAAGACGGAGUGCCAAGGAAAACACCUGAGGUCCUUUGGAAUACCACUGAGAAUUACGUCUAGCCUCAAGAUCGUCUGGCAAUUAGGAAGUUACACUGAAUGGUGAGCGGAAGACUGACACAAAAAUACCAAAAAUGUUCCUGUAACGGCUUCAAAAAUGCGGACAAAUUUAUAAUGGAACUGAUUUCAGGUUUGCGACUAUAAAUAUAAUGUCUAAGAAUUCCCAGUUGGUUGGACAAAUAUUUUCGUUCGUUCAGAGGAAAAAGUAUGAUAGCAACAAAGGUAGUGGAAUAUAUCAAUAAUGGAAUGCAUUAAUAAUAAUAAUUUUAAAAAAAUGAUGGAAUUAGCAGAAUGUAUUCUUUGAUAAUGUUGUCUAUUUUUUCAUGUCGUGGUCGUUACUCACGACUAAAGGAUUAUGUUAAUAUAUAAAUCAUUAAACUAAAUACAAGAUAAUGUUCAGUUUAUUAGUUAAUUCCCAAGGAGGUACCACCACACAUUGACACAACACACGCGUCUGUAUGUGUAUAAGAUGUUUUGGAAUGUAUAAUAAUAUACAAAGAUUUUUACGUACACACACACACAUCUUAGAUAAACAUACAUUAUAGCAUUGGCAUUAUAGAAAAUCCAAAAUUGCCUAAUAACACAUGAUAUGUGUUUGGUAAAAACUUAAGGAAUGUAUUAUUUAUUCCUCCUACUGCAGUACAAACACAGUAAAUAAAUAAAGAGAAAUUUAUAAUUCAAAGCACACACCGGGACAUUAAUAUAAACAGCAAGUAAAGUGUUAUAUAUAUUUAUAUUGUAUACAAACGGACACUGUGACAUAUUUUUAUAUGUAUAGAGGUGAAUAAGCGGAAUAAAAUUACAACCACACACACAUACUGAAGAAUGGUGUAGAUAAACAUUAUAAGAAAAUAGGCUGUAAGAAUGAAAAAAAUAUACAUUUAUAGAUUUAUAAUUUUAAAAUGAAAAGAAAGAAAAAGAGAAAAAUUUAGAGCUUCACUCACAUGCCAAUAGAGAGGGAAAGAUGAAAUGAAUGAGUGAGAGAAAAAAAACUGAAGAAGUUGAGAUAAAAGAUAAAAAUUUAUAUGUAUGUAUGUAUAGAGAAAGAGAGGGAGAGAAAGAAAGAAAGAAGGAGAAAUUGAAGUAAAAUUUAAUUAACUAGAUCCAAAAGACAAGUCAACAACCCAUAGCUGUCAUAUUUUGGGUGUGUAAUAAAAUUUUUCUACUUUUUAGUCCGGGGUGGUCUCCGUUCAAAGAGAAAGUCGAAUUUUUAUAUUAUUCUGUUAACCUCCAGCAAAAGAGGACGACACCAAAAUAAACUCUUUUAUAACAUAUAUAGAUAUAAAUAUAUGCACUCGCACCCAUAUACAUAACAUACACAUAUUGUAAUCUAUGUUAGUGGGAACCAAUUUAAAAGAUCCGUCUGUUAAUUUUGCACCGGGACCGGAUCUUCCUCUUGACAGCAACUUGUGAUUAGUUCUAAGAAAAUUAGUUUUGUUGUCAUCGUGAUCGUGGUAGUGGUGGUUGUCGCUUAGACCAGCUUUUUUUGUUACCAUCAUUAUUACCGGUACCAGCCGCCCUGGAUACGCCGCCGAACAUGCCCUCCGAUCGCCGUAGAGCUUCACUUCAGGUCCAUUCUCAGCGGAGUGAGCCAUGUACCCCGACUGACGGUGGCUGGGCAGGAGGAGGUGGACUGGGUGGACUCUGGAACAAUCGUACUUCUCGCCAACGUACCCAGGUAAGAUAAAACUUAUAUUGACUGUCUUACUUCUUGCGUCCCAUUCUCUUUAUCAAGGUUUUCGUCAUUCAUGACGACAAGCAUUCGCUGUACAAGAUGAAAAUUUCACCUUCUUGUUUAAUCUUCUUCAUUAUUUUAUUUUAUCCCUUUCCCGCCUAUGAUAUUGUCUUUUAGCUGAAAUAAAUAAAAAAUGAAACUCUCUUCAAUUAUAUAAAUUUUUAUAUAUUACCCCGCACUAUAUAUAUAUAUAUAUAUAUAUAUAUAUAUAUACAUACAUACAUACACACAUACAAAUACGUAUGAGUGUGUUAUAUCUAUCUGUAACUCAUACAUACUUUUGCAAGAAUAAGUACACACGCAUAUGUGUGCCAUAUAUGUCAUUGGUGUAUACAUGCAUGUACACGUUUAAAUCUACAUGCAUUAAUACAUACAUGUAUCCCGUGUGUGCUUGUACUUUAAAAAGGUGAUAGAAUCAAUAUCAUUUUUAUGGAUUUAACGCUUAUCAAUAUUUAUAAUGUACAUCUUCGUUUAUUUUUUCUUAAAAAGAAACUAUAAUUAUCUAUUUAAUGAUUUCCCCUCCUAAUUAUAUAUACUACAUAUAACAAAAUAUAAUAUUUCAUCAAAACGAAUGGUAAAAGAAUAAAAUUAUACAAGUCAAGAAAUUCAAGAAUUCUUCUGAUAUAAGCAAAUAAUGAUUCUAUUUAUUCCAUCCACCUGAAUGUCCUUUAAUGUAGUUUGGCAGAAAUAUAAAUUUAUGCUAAACUCAGGUAGUGACACUAAAAUAUUUAUAACAACCCUUUGCUUCUCUUGUACUUUUACUUUCCCAAUAUUACCGGUUCCAUUGUGUUUUUUAUGUGAAUUCUUCACAUGAAUACACAUCAUGUGUGUGUGUGUAUGUAUAUAUAUAUAUGUGUAUGUGAUUAUAUAGGUCUGUAUAGGUAUAUGUAGGUAAAUAUAUGUUUACGCACAUAUAUAUGUAGGUGUAUGUGUCAGUAUGCGCGCGCGCCUUCGUUUUACGUCCGUUUUUUCAUGCCAGCAUGAAUACAUUUGUGUAUAUAUUUUUCCCGACUUAGAACAUAUCAGCCUGCAUAUUUAUAUAUAGCUGUGUGUAUAACUUGUACACGCUACUGCAAUGCGAGACUAAACUUCCUAUGUGUGCGUAUAUAUCUGUCUUAAUUGGAUUACAAUUAUUAUUCCGUACUAUCUCCACUAACGUAGCUAAUGCCCUUCAGAAACAUGAAUAUUUAAAUCUCGCAGCACUCACCUCUACCUCUCCUCCUUCCCGCAUAAAUCUGACGCUCCUGUAAAUAUACUGUCUAUAUCUCUCUGUGUUCCUAUUUAUUUUGUGUCUAUCUAUCUAUCUAUCUAUCUAUCUAUCUAUCCAUCUAUCUUCUAUCUUUUCUUUUUUGACCUGCGGCCUUGCUCGGGCUCCUCUCUGUUUUUCAGCUUUGUUGUUGAUGAUGGUAGAUGUUGGAAGAUGAUCUAUAAUUGAAUUUGUAGCAGCUGAUCUUCCUGAAUGUAACCUUGCAUAGUUGACACAACACACACACACAUACAAUGUGUAUUUUAAAUAUCUGUACACAUUUUGAAAGUUUCCAUCAUCACCCCUCCAAAACAAAUAAUUUUGGAAUGAAAAAAAUUACUCAUUAAGAUUUUAAUUAAAAGCUUGAUAAUUUCGCUUUGAAAUUAAAGUGCCCUUGAGAAUGGUAUGGAGUUAAAAAAACAUCGUUUCUACUUUUGAGAAAUUAUUGGUUUUAAAGACCCAUUCAAGGAAUUAUUUUCGAAGCCAUGCAAAGUGCGCGCGCGCGCAUUUAUAUACACAAAUACACACAUAUAUAUAUAUAUAUAUGUGUGUGUGUGUGCGCACACAAAAUAUAUAUUACACAUGGGUGCAUAUGUAUGUGUGUCAAUGUAUGCGUGAGUGUAUGUGUGACUAUGAAUUAAAAGGUACGUAUGUGUAUGUAUAUCAUGCUGUUUUUUUUUCUCAGCAAUGUAGAGGAUAAUGUAUAUAUGUAAAAUUGUGCGAUUUUACAUAUUUUAAUUCAGAAUGAAACUAUAUACAAUAUUGAUUUUUUUGGUGUAUCUAUGCAGAGAUAAACAUGUGUGUGUUAUAUUCUAUGCUCUAUUCUCAAAAUCAGAUUGAGGAGGGUAGACAGUGUCAUGUCCAUCAUUGGGGACACACACACACACACACAUAUAUAUUUAUAUAUAUAUCUGUAUAUAUAUAUGUAUUUAUAUAUAUGUAAUAAUGUAAUAUAUAUGUAAUAAUGUAAUAUCUAUAUAUAUAUAUAUAUAUAUGUGUGUGUGUGUUAUAUAUAUAUAUAUAUGUAUAUAUGUAUAUAUAUAUAUAUGAUAUGAAUAGUCUUUUAUUUGUUUCAGUCAUUUAACUGUGGCCAUGUUGGAGCACCGCCUUUAGUCGAGCAAAAUGACCCCAGGACUUAUCCUUUGUAAGUCUGGUACUUAAUCUAUUGGUCUCUCUUGCCGAACUGCUAAGUUAUGGAGAUGUAAGCACAUCAGCCAUCGGUUGUGAAGCGAUGUUGGUAUGAGUGGGUGGAGAAACACACACAAAACAUAUACAUACACAUGCAUAUUUAUAUAUAUAUAUAUAUAUAUAUAUAUAUAUAUAUGUAGACAACGGGCGUCUUUCAGUUUCAGUCUACCAAGGUGCCACACAGUGGGAGUGAACCCAGAACCAUGUAGUUGGUAAGCAAACUACUUACCACACAGCCACUCCUUUGCCUAUAUAUAUAUAUAUAUAUAUGUGUGUGUGUGUAUAUAUUUUUAUACGUAUGUACAUAUGUAUCCAUGUAUAUGUAUAUAUACAUAUGUAUGCAUGUAUGUAUAUAUAUAUAUAUAUAUAUAUAUAUGUAUAUAUAUACAUAAGUAUGCAUGUGUAUAUAUAUAUAUAUGUAUAUAUAUACAUAAGUAUGCAUGUGUAUAUAUAUAUAUGUAUAUAUAUACAUAAGUAUGCAUGUGUAUAUAUAUAUAUAUGUAUAUAUAUACAUAAGUAUGCAUGUGUAUAUAUAUAUAUGUAUAUAUAUAUACACACAUGCAUAUGUAAGCAUGAAUAUAAAUAUACAUUGAGACCCCCUUCGGUCAUGACUGACCGUGGGAUUGCACCUAGAAAGUUACCCUCCCAGGCACAAGUCUGGGCAAGGUUGUUUAUAGAAGACCAGCAGUCACCCAUGCAUAUUGGCGUCCCCUCUGCACGCCACCAGUGUUAUCUAAGGGAAAGGCAAAAGCAGAUACAGCUUGGCACCUGUGACAUCUCAACUCAUUUCUACAGCUGAGUGAACUGGAGCAACGUGAAAUAAAGUGUCUUGCUCAAGAACACAACACGCAGCCCGGUCCGGGAUUCGAACUCACAACCUCACGAUCAUAAGCUCGACUGUCUAACCACUGAGCCAUGCACCUUCACAAUAUACAUAUAUAUACUUAUAUACAUAUGUAUAUAAGUAUAUAUAUAUAUAUAUAUAUAUAUAUAUAUAUAUAUGCAUAUAUAUAUAUAUCAUAUAUAUAUAUAUAUGCAUAUAUAUAUAUAUAUAGCAUAUAUAUAUAUAUAUAUAUAUAUAUAUAUAUAUAUAUAUGCAUAUAUAUAUAUGUACAUAUGCAUAUAUGCAUGCAUAUAGGUGCAUAUAUAUAUAUAUAUAUUAUAUAUAUCUAUAUAUAUUAUAUAUAUCUGCAUGUAUAUAUGUAUAAUAAUAAUAAUAUAUAUAUAUAUAUAUAUAUAUCAUGUAUAUCAUCAUCAUCAUCGUUUAACGUCCGUUUUCCGUGCUAGCACGAGUUGGACAGUUCGACUGGGGUCUUGGAAGCCAGGAGGCUGCACCAGGCUCUAGUCUGAUCUGGCAGUGUUUAAAAGCAGCAGAAAUAUAACAAAAGCUGUUACUCAGAGAACGGGAAUAUGAAACUCUGAGUAACAGCUUUUGUUAUAUUUCUGCUGCUUUUAAUACUCUACCUCUGGUAUCUGGUAUUUGAGUACUGUAUUUUUCCACCUUGUUUCACAUUUAUGUGCUUACUCCGGUAUAUAUAAAUAUAUAUAUAUAUAUAGUCGGUGGCACAUAAAAAACACCAUCCGAGCGUGGUCGUCUGCUAGCCUCAUCUGGCACCUGUGUCGGUGGCACAUAAAAACACCAUCCGAGUGUGGCCGUUCGCCAGCCUCGUCUGGCACCUGUGUCGGUGGCACAUAAAAACACCAUCCGAGCGUGGCCGUUCACCAGCCUCGUCUGGCACCUGUGUCGGUGGCACAUAAAAUCACCCACUACACUCUCGGAGUGGUUGGCGUUAGGAAAGGCAUCCAGCUGUAGAAACACUGCCAGAUCUGAUUGGCCUGGUGCAGCCUUCGGGCUCCUCAGACCCCAGUUGAACCGUCCAACCCAUGCUAGCAUGGAAAGCGGACGUUAAAUGAUGAUGAUGAUGAUAUAUAUAUAUAUAUACUAGCAGUAUCGCCCGGCGUUGCUCGGGUUUGUAAGGGAAAUAACUAUAAAGCAUUUUUAGAGAGUUAUAGCCAAAAAAUAGCAAAAAAAUGGAAAAAAAAUGACGGUAAAUUUUUUUUGAGAGUUAAAAGGGUCGAGUUGCAUCCCCUAGACAGUCUGUGGUUUGUGUUUCUGAUUCUCGACCCCAUGUCGAAUUUAUCGAUUUUUCUCAGAACUGAGGGAACUUUUCAAAAUUUUCGCUGCGUUAGUUUUGAAUUAUGACAUUGGGCUACGUGUGUGUCAAGUUUCAUCAGAAUCGGUUGAAAGCCGUGGUCAGGGUGAGGGUACAACGUGACAGACACACAGACACACACAGAGACAAACUGCCGUUUAUAUAUAGAGAGAUAUAUAUACACAUACAUACACAUAUACACAUACAAAUACAAUAUACACACUCACUUGCACCUAUCAUAUGAAGUUAUGCAUGAAACUUAAAGGUUUUGAGAGUCACUUUGUAACUUUUGUCUAUUAUAUAUAUAUAUAUGUAAGUUUCAUGUUUUGUGUUCUCGUCAUCCUUGUGCUGCAACACCCAUCCCACGCAUAUAUACAUACAUACUUUUAUGUAUAAAUACAUAUACACUCUCUAUAUCUGUGUGUGUGUGUGUGUGUGCAGCAUUUUUUGUUUCUUCCACAUGUAACAAUAAUAUAAUUUCAACUGAAUAUAUGUCAAUUCCAAAGAUUUAUGUGUGCUUAUAAUGUCACAUGUGUGUGUAGAUAUGAGUAUGUAUGUGUGCAUAUUAUGUUUGUGCACAUUUGUGAGUAUGAAUGUGUACAUAUAUCUGUAUGUGUGUGUAUAUAUAUGAGUUUGUAUGUGCAUAGCUGUCUAUUCUUGUUUGUGUGUAUGUGUGUGUGUGUAUAUAUAUUCGUGUAUGUGUAUUUAUAUCUGCAUGUAUAUGUGUGUGCAUGUAAUAAAUAUAUUCAUAUAUGGAUGGGGAAAGGAAAUAGUUCAAAUUAUUCCCAUAGCACUUUUCCGCCCACCCCCACCUAGUCUUUGGGUUCCUGUCAUACAUUCCAGAGUCUUCAUCACAGUCCCUGUCUCAACAUCCUUAAUCCAAUCUCCCCUUUAUCCCCCCACACCUCUUCUUUUAUCCCUUAGUUUUCUAAACACAAUUGAAUUCCUUGAUAGACCAAAGGACCACACAUUUUUCUUUGCCUUGAUGUUCCUAUCACUCUUUCUCCCAAACUAAUGCAUUGUUCUAUGGCUGACUGUUUGGCCUGGUAGUUCUUUCAUGUAAUGACAAGAAUUCUUCAAGAAUGCUGACAAUUUCAUCCUAUUUAUUUAUUUAUUCAUUUUUUAUGUUGAGUACAUUCACAUCUUAAGUGUUGUUCUUCAUUGUAUUAGCUUUUGUUACUUGCACUUUUGAAAUGUUCUGUGUUCCACAUCUAAUGUAUGCAUAUAUUUUUAUAUGUAUGUAUGUACAAUAUACAAAUAUAUAUGUGCAUGUGUGUGUAUUUAUGUAUAAAUGUUUGUGCAUGCACCACACACACACACACAAAUAAGACGUUUAGCAUAUCUUUAAUGACCAGUUACAGUUGUUUUGUUACCACUGUGUUUUUAACGCCAUCGCAAUGCAGAAGUUCCAUUUGGCCCAGGACUAUAGUGGAAAAGACAAGUGCCUUAGAUAACACACAGUGGGACUGAACCUGGAAUCGUACUAUUGUGGAGUGAGUGUUUUGACCAUACAUCAUCCCUGCAUCUAUACAGCCAUGCUUGUACCUAUUUCAUCAUUAUAAUCAUCAUCAUCAUCAUUGUUUUAACAAUCCUUUUUCUGUGCUCGCAAGGUCAGAUGGGAUUUGUUGAAACUGAUUUCCUACAGCUGGAUGACUUUCCUGCUUAUUUAUAUUUAUUGUGUGAUGCCAAUACAAGGUGAUACAGAUACAAAUAGAUAAUUGGAGCAGCCAUAGCUCCAAUUGAUGCAGGUGUUGUUGUGUGGUUGAGAAGUUGACUUCACAACCACAUGUUUUGGGUUCAGUCCUACUACAUGACACUUUGGGCAAGUGUCUUCCACAAUAGCCAUAGGCCAAACAAAGCCUUGUGAGUGGAUUUGGUAGAUGGAAACUGAAAAAAAUCUGUUAUCAUAUAUAUAUGCAUGUAUGUGUGUAAGGUGGUGUGCUGGCAGAAUAGUUAGCACGCCAGGCAAAAUGCUGAGUAGCAUUUUGUCUGUCUAUGUUCUUAGUUCAAAUUCCACCAAUGUUGAUUUUACCUUUCAUCCUUUUGGGGUUAUAAAAUAAGUACCAGUUGAACACUGGGUUUGAUGUAAUCGACUUAGCCACUCCCUGAAUUUGCUAGCCUUGUGCCAUAAUUUGAAAUAUAUAUAUAUAUAUAUAUAUAUAUACGUGUGUGUGUGUGAUGGACUUUAUGCUUCCGUCAGCCAAAUUCACUUACAAGACUUAGAUUUUUUAAUUUAUUAGAAAUUUAUGAAAUAUCGUAUGAAGUAGUAUAUAUAUUUAUAUCUCCUUCUAUACAAAUGACUGCAGAAUAAAAACAAAAGAUCAAAAAGAUCUCCUUGUCACCCCUUAUAUUUAUUCACCUUAUUUGAAAUUCUGUUAUACUCUUACAGUAUUUUAUUCUCAGGUGAAUAUAGUACUCAGUUCCUUCUGAGGAACUGAGUACCAUAUUUAUAAGGAAGGAGACAUUCAUCAGUCUUGUUCCUUAUAAAUGGCAUCACACAAAUGUAUGCUUGUUUAAACACAGAAUUAGGAUAUUGUUUUUUUUUUAUUGCCAUUUAUAUUAAAUGAAUCAGGAUGAGAUGAUCGGGCACAGCUGUUCGGAUGCUGAUGUUUUGGCAUGGCUGACUGGACAUUCAGCCUGUUUUGGUAACAGUGCUUUUCAGUAUUGGAGGCAAACAUGCUCAUACAUACAUAAUGCAGAAAUACACUCAUACAAAGUGAGAGAGAGAGAGAAAAUCAUUUCAAUUGAUUGAAUAUGAUUGACAUAAACACUUUCCCUCUCCUGAUACACAUGAAAAGAAAUAUGCUCACUGACAUUAACAGAGAGAGAGAGAGAGAGAGAGAGAAACAUUAAAACAUCUGAUUUCAAAUAAGUCAGUGUUGAAUAAGUGAUGCCAAAUAAGUGCCACCAAAAUGGCUAGCCAAAAUGUCUUAUAUCCUAAAUGGAGAGAACAUUAAUUUCAUUCAUAGUGAUGUUUGUGUCUUACUGUUGAUCAGUUCCUUUAAUAAUAUCACCAUUCAUGCAGCAAUUAAUGGAAUAAACAUUUCUGGCCAAAGUGUCUCCUAUGUAUUCUUCAACCAAAUAGACUCCUACAUUGUAUAUAUGUUUGUAUAUUUGUGUGUGUGUGUGUGUGUGUGUGUGUGUGUGUGUGUUGAAGCUCCUCAUUUUCUUAAGUUUAGUUGUUGUGUAGCCUUUAGUCAAUUUUUGCCAUAGCAGACUAAAUGGCUCUGAAAUCAGAAACAGAGCUCUUUGAAGCAGUUGAUAGGUUCCAGGGCAGCAAAUAUCUCAUGCGUCAGCUUUGGUUGGCACAACACUGCAUGUUCUGUCAUGCAGGAUUAGUGAUGAGAGUCACUGUGUACUGCAUCAAUUUAAGAUAAUAGUGAUUGCUCAGUGCUAUGUAAUUUAUGUAAUUCUUCAAUGUUUGUGAAUAGUCAUAGUCUUCUUUAUUAACAGAGGAUGUUGAAUGACUCUGUGUCAAGACUGGAGUGUUUAAAACAUCAAAUAAAAUAGAGUAUUGUGCUGGCUGUAUUAACAACUUGGAAUUUCUUUCAACAAAUGUCAGUCAAAUAAACCAGAGAUGUUAUUAAAACUAACAUAGAACUAAUUUAUUUUAAACUAAUUAGGACUAAUGUAGUCUUGCCUUAUCCAUGCAAACAUGGUAAAGUUGAUAUCACAAUGAAAAUUAUAUACAUAAUUUUAAUAUAUGUGUAUGUGUGUGGGUAUAAGUAUCUUUUUAUCUUUCACUUGUUUCAGUCAUUAGACUGUGGCUAUAUUGGGGCAUUACGUUGAAGAAUUUUUAGUUGAAAUGUAUUGACCCCAGUACUUUUUUUUUUAAAGCCUGGUACUUAUUCUAUCAAUCUCUUUUGCUGAAUCACUAAGUUACAGGGACAUGAACACAAGUUGUCAAGUGGUGAUGGGGAACAAACACAGGCACAAAGACACACACGCACAUGCACACACACACAUGAUGGGCUUCUUUCAGUUUCCAUCUACCAAAUCCACUCACAAGGCUUUGAUUAGCCUGAGACAGCGCCCAAGGUGCCAUGUAGUGUGACUGAACCUGGAAUCAUGUGGUUGGGAGUAAGCUUCUUACUACAUAGCCAUGCCUGCACCUGAAAAAAAAAACCAUGUAAAAAAACAGUUGAACAUUGAACUGAAGAAUUAUUUUUUCUGUCGAGUACAUGUUUAUUAUAAAUGUAUAUCAAAAGUAGAUUGGUGGCUGACUUUGCAGUUUUGGCUUACUUGUCUUUGUCAGACUAUCAAGCCAGCAGGUCGAAUCUUGGAAGUCUCUAUCAUCCCUCUCAUUGUAAAAGUUUAACAUUUAUAUAUAUAUAUAUAUAUAUGAUAGCCACUUGAUUCUAUGAAUCCAUAUAUUACACUACAAAUUUAUAUACUAGACUACCUAUGACCUGUUGGGUCACUGGGAAACACUGAGUUUCCCAGCAAUGGAGUUUUGUUUCGUGGGUUUUUUUUCUUUUCCAGGUUAUUUCACGUGCUUUCAACAGCGAAAUCAUGCGUAAACAGCUCCUUUCCCCUGAAAAGGAAAGAUUUGGCUGCUAUUUCUUACAUGCCCUGCUACCACGCAACUGGUAUUUUGGGUCCCUUAUCGCAAAUAACUAUUACAUGGUAGGACAUGCUAGAAAUAGCACCCAAAUCUUUGGAGGUGAGAUAUGUUGAAUGCACUUGAAAAAACCUAGGGAACAAAAAUUAUUUCACACUGAAGUUACGAACGGGUCUUUUACGAAAUAUUCAUCAUACUUUUAAAGUCAUUUUCAUUUAAAAAUAGUUUUGAAAUAUGUCAAAAGAAAUUUUUGUUAUAGUAUUCACUUGAAAAUAAUUUAAAAAACAUUAAAAUGUUGUCUGUUUAAAGAAAGCUAAAAUAUAAAUACUUACUGUACAAAUAACUUACAUUUUUGAAAUCAUAUUCACUUAUAUUUCUAAAUCAUUAAAAUAUUGUGUUUGACAUUUACUGUAAAAAAACAAAUCAUAUUUUUCCGUUGUCAAAUCAGUCUAAUUGAAAGGUUAGAGUUUUUUCCCUUUCAAGAUGAAGUUAUAUUUGGAACAUUUUCCCAUUGUGCACCGUUUUGGGUAUUUAUAUCCCCAAAACCUGAAUAUCUCAAUAACUACUGUUCCAAUUUACGUGAAAUUUGUUUCAUUCCAUUUAUUUUAACAUUUCAGGGUAAACUUAAUUCAUAGGAUUUUCCCAUUAUGUGCCAGUUUGGCCGAGUAACAUUGCAAGCAAGCAAGCAAGAUUCAAACUGACUUUUAAUGUCUUAUAGCUGAAAAGUUCCUGGCUUUAAGGGUAUUGUUAAAGGCCUAGUUGGAGGCUCAACUUUCCAAGUUCUUUUGCAGGGUUUAAAAAAACUGAAGGACCGCUGCAAUAAGUGUGUGAAUCUGAGAGAGAAUAUGUUGAAUAAAAUCAUAAUAACUGAUCCUCUUGUAUUUUCUUUUACCCAAAGCCAGGAACUUUUUAGUACCCCUUCAUAUAUCUAUAUAAUCUUCAUCAUCAUUUAAUGUCCAUAUAUACACACACAUACGAUUUUCAUUUUUACACAUUCAUAAAAUGCGUACACAAAUGCACACGCACAAACUAUAAUUUUAACUAGCUGAUAAAUGCAGAUUUGUGUAUCUCUUGUUGAACUUUGAAAGGCCAAGAACAGUAAUACAUAUAUUUAAGAAAUAGAAAAUUGGGUUAACAAAUAUGAUAAUAGGCUUGACUUACAAACCUAUUUUCUUUUCCCCUUGACUUCCUGACUAAAACUAAACAUAUAGGUGCAGGCGUCGGUGUGUGGUAAGAAGCUUGCUUCCCAACCAUAUGUUUUUGAGUUCAGUCCCACUGUGUGGCACCUUGGGCAAAUGUCUUCAACUAAAGCCUUGGGCCGACCAAAACCUUGUGAGUGGAUUUGGUAGAUGGAAACUUAAAGAUGCCUGUUGUGUGUGUGUAUAUAUAUACAUGUGUGUGUUUGUCAUCCACCACUGCUUGACAACCAGUGUUGGUUUGUUUAUGUCCCUGUAAUGUAGCAAUUUGACAAAAAGAGUCCAGACUUUAAAAAAAAAAGUAUUGGGGUUGAUUCAUUGGACUAAAAGUUUAUCAAGGCAGUGCCCCAGCAUGGCUGUAGCCUAAUGACUGAAACAGAUAAAAGAUAAAAGGUACCAUCAAUCAUCAUCAUCAUGAAAAUCAUUGUUUUGAAUGUCCAAAAUCCAGGACAUAAAGGUGUGUCCUUUAUGACCAUGGUCUCCCUUCUCUCCCAUAACUCUUAAUACUUCCCACCCCUCAGCUGAGGGAACUUGUCCUGCAAGUUAUUUUGUAACCUCACUGCUCCUAGUGCCACAUAAAAAACACCCAGUACACUCUGUAAAGUGGUUGAUAUUAGGAAGGGCAUCCAACCAUAGAAAUACCAAAGAAGACAAUAGGACUUGGUGCAGUCUUCUAGCUUUUCUAGUUUCUGUCAAACUGUCAAACCCAUACCACCAUGGAAAACAUGUUAAAUAAUGACGAUACUGAUGAGUGAUGAUAAUGUUUACUUUUCUGUAUCUGCAAGGAUCAGACAGAAUUUAUUUGGGCAAAUUUUCUAUAGCCAGAUGCCCUUCCUGAUACCAAACCUCACUUGUUUCCAAGCAAAGUAAUAUUUGUCAAUAACUGGAAUGAAGGAUACUGCUUGUCUGAUGUUUACAAUUGUUGCCUGAUGUCAAGACAAAGAAGCACACACACACACGCAUAGAAAUAUACACUUACAGAUAGAGAGAGAGUGAGAGAGAGAGAUUAUAAUUUAUUAAUUAACCCCUUGCAGAUGUUAUUAGGCCGUUUAGUAACUACAUAAUUUUGCAUACAAAGAAUUUCACUGUGUAUUUACAGAGUCUUCUCUGUGGUACAGUCAAAAACACAGUGCUGCACAUAGUGAGACAUCAUAUGGCUCACACACACAUUGUUUCGAUGUGGUCAGUAUCGCUUCCUGUCUGCAAGGGGUUAAACAGGAUUGACAUAUACGCUUCACCUCUCCUGAUACGCAUAAAGAAAAUAUGCUCACACAAAUAUACCAAAGACAAAGAGAGGGGAAUGGAAAGAGAGAGAGAGAGACAUUAAAACAUUCUCAUGUCAAAUAAGUUGUUGAAUCAGCAAGGCCAAAUAAACUCUGCCAAAAUGGCUGAACCAAAACGUCUCAGACUCUCCUUGAGGAAAAUCAUAGUCACUGCUUUCUAUUCUCACUAAGCAAUUAGUGUAAGACAAGAAUGCCCAUUACUAUUUAUCUAUCUAUAACAAAGAAUGUGAUGUUUUGUCAGGUCAAAAAUCUUUGUAAAUUCUCCUGGAAGUUCAUUACAUGUCAGAUACCAUUGAAAAUAUCUCUAUUAUUAGACACUUUCUGAAUAAUCCAACUUUCAACAAUAGAAAUCCAUCUUAUUUUUAACUUUCCCAUACUUUGGAAAUGUUUGCAGUGUCUACCAAUACUUUUAACCUAUUUAUAACUAGUGAAUGUUGUUCUCUUGUAGUCUUAGUGAAUGCAGUCUUCGUUUUCUGUUUACCAUUCCUGUUUGUGAUAAUAACUUUCUAGAAUAUAAACUAUCUAUUUCACGAAAUUAAAUGAAUUGGAAUGCUUCACUUGUGUUUUCAAAAACAACUACUUUGCACAAUUGAUAUAUUUAAGCAAUAGCCCAACCCUCACCCCUGCGUGUGUGUGGUGUAUUCGUAAGUGUAUGCACAUGUUCUACAGGUAAUGUUUGUAAGAAAAGAUCUUUGCUAAUUAAGUUGUUUUUAAUCAAGAGCAGCUGUUUUGAGCCAUACAAAUUUCUGAUUAAAACAAGAAUUUCUAAAGACUUAUUUGGUAUCAAUUAUUGUUUCUUAUAGUAAUCCAUCAUUAUCAUCAUUAUCACCACCAUUACCAUCACUUCAAUAUCAUUCUUAUUCCUAUCAGCAGUAUCAUUGUCAACACCCCAGGUAGCAACAUUAUUGUCAUCCUACCCUACUAUCACCACCACCAUCAACAUCACCAUCCUUGUCGUCUUCAUUGCUACCAUUUAUACUCAUUACCGCUUGAAUAUUCUCAUCCUUUAGUUUGUCGUUGUAACUACAAUUAUGUUCUUUACCUCUCUCAGUAUUAUCAUCUUCCUCACAUGGCACUAUCACCACCAUUGUAGUCAUCAUCAUUAUCAUCAAUUAUAAAUAUAAAUACCAUAUUGUAUUAUACAGUGAGUUUUAUGAAGAAAAUUAUAAACCCCUCUACAAUCUUACUCUUUUACUCAUUUCAGCCAUGCGGCCGCAGUCAUGCUGGAACACCACCAUGAUCUUUCUGACUUCUUCAGUUUAGGUGUUUCACAUCACCACUCCUAUAUGUGCCUUUAUCCCAGCUGUUGGUACAUUUGGUGUAUACGGGAGUUUGAUUCCGCUGCCCUCGUCUGUACCUAAUGUCAGACUGUUGGUUCAUCCGGUAUUGUGGAGAGUAGGAUGUCUAGUUCUUUUUCGAAACCAUCUACUUCCAUCUUAUGCAAAUUUCUUAGUUUUUGUGGCAGGGCAUUGAAGAGCUAUAGGCCUUUGAACCCUAUACUAUUGCAAUACCUGUUCCUGAAUUUAGAUGGAGUGGAUGGUACCUUUGAUAUAAUACAAUGGUGGCCAGUUCUGGCAUUUGUAUAACAUGCAAUGCCAAAAUUAGGUACUAGCCCUUCUAGGAUUUCCCAUAUGUAUAUUAUUGCAUAUCUCUCAUACCUUCGCUCCAGGGAGUAAAGCUGUAGUUUUCUCAGCCAAUCCCUGUAGCUCGCCCGCUGCACUGUUUCAAUCUUUUUAGUGUAGUGGUGUUGGACUGCUUCAAGCUCCAUUGUUAGUUUGGCACUAUAUGGUGACCUGGGAGUAGUAAUCCAGGUGGCUGAGAACAAAGGUUCUCCACAGGGUCAACAUAGUUUCUUGGUCUCUUGUCAUGAAGGACUUCAGUAUCCAUACUGCCAGUUGUCUGCACUUUGCUGCCAUCUUGCUUAUGUGCAUAUGAAAUGAUGCGUCAUUGCACAUACUGAUCCCCAAGUCUUUCACUGCCUGUGACUCUGAGAUUGUAGUGCCUUCGGGUCCUGUAAAUGUAGAUUGUACUGUAUUUGUGAGUUGAUAGUGCAGUGUUUGAAAUUUUCCAGUAUUAAACUGCAUUUUGUUUACUUUGGCCCACUUGUAUAUUGAGUUUAGGUCCUGCUGUAAGCUUGAAACAUCAUCUUGGUUUUUUAUUGCCUGUGAUAAUUUUGUAUCAUCAGCAUAGCUGGUGGCAGUGGUUGUCUGAGUGACUGUGGUCAUGUCUAAUAAGGCUAUUAUGAACAGUAAUGGCCCCAGAACAGUUACACAAGUAUAUAGGAGGGUAUAUAGAUAUAUAAAAAUAUAAUACUAUAAGAUAUAAAAUUCUCUUAUAAAGAAUUUAUAAAAUGAAAAAAUAAAAUAUUUCAUUGUGAAUGACAUGAACUGUAUAAUGGAGAUAAGAAAUAAAAAAUAAGGAUAAGUCAAGGUAUGCAUAACAAAUGCUGAUUAAAAAAUAAAUAAAUUAAGAUAAAGGUAUCAUGGGAAAUUGUUUUAUAAAAUAUAUUAGUGACACAGAAAUGUGUGGAAUAGUAACAGUUCACAGGAAGUUUACCUUAUACUUAGGGGAGGUGCAAGAUCUAACUUGGGCAUAAAGACAGAAAUUUGGGGGAGAUGGAAUUAGUUGAUAAUAUUAGUCCACUACAUGAUUGGUACUUAAUCAUAUUGACCCUGGAGAAAUGAGAGACAAUGUUUCUCUUGGCAGGAUUUGAACAUAGGACAGAGUGAGUCGGAGAAUCCGAAUAAAUGCUGAAAGCAGUUUAUCUAAAGUUCUAAUGAUACCACUAAUCUCUCCCUCACCACUGCUCCCAUAAAAGAGAUAAUCGCAGCUGUUGUAAGAGAACUGAAAUGUUAAAAACUUUGAAAACAAUAGUUGUGAAAGGUUUGAAGUUCUGAUUCCAGUUACACCCGAUAAAACUGAAAGGUCAGAACUCACUUCUGCUAAAUUCCAUCCAGAUCACUUCCAAAAUAUAACAACAUGAAAUGUGUGGAAAUCAAGGAUGGAUUCUCUACAUAUUAGCUUGAUUUGCUAGAAAUAGCAGCAAAGUUUCCCUCAAAUCACACCCAACUAUCUUAAAGCAGAAAUAAAACCAAGAGCAAUGUAACUAUAGAUUUAGAAAAUGUCAUGGUUGAUUAGAGCUGAUUCAUGGCUAAACAAUAAUGACAAGGUCAACAAUGUUGAAUGUGUGAAACCACAACUGGAGCCUCUAUACAGUUGCUUGAUUUGCUAGAAAUAGUUGUAAAAAGUUUCCCUUAUCAUACUCUGCUGUCUUAAACAGGAACAAAACAUGAGACACUGUAAUGCAAGGUUUACAAAAUGUCAGGAAUGUCUGUAAUCAAAAGUCUGCUUGAUUAGGACUGAUCCAGGGCUAAACAAUAUUAACAAUAUGGAAUAUGUAAAACCAAUGAGGGAGUCUCUACACAAUCACUUGAUUUACUAGAAUUAACAGGAAAAUUUUCCUCAAAUCACACCCUGUCAUCUUAACCCUUUAGCUUUCAGAUUACUCUGUCAAAUGUAAUGCUUAUUUAUUCACAAUGUUUUGAAUUAAUCAAGCAGUAUCUUGUAGCUUUGAGAUUUCUAUGAUGUGAUUGUUUACUUUUAGAAUGACAUUGUGAGAUAGGUGUGAG
Molecule: long non-coding RNA, 17503 nt
Filed under: Octopus vulgaris (common octopus)
Lineage: Eukaryota; Metazoa; Mollusca; Cephalopoda; Octopoda; Octopodidae
Source: RNAcentral